CAGUAGCCGCGGUAAUACGUAGGGUGCGAGCGUUAAUCGGAAUUACUGGGCGUAAAGCGUGCGCAGGCGGUUAUAUAAGACAGAUGUGAAAUCCCCGGGCUCAACCUAGGAUCUGCAUUUGUGACUGUAUAGCUAGAGUACGGUAGAGGGGGAUGGAAUUCCGCGUGUAGCAGUGAAAUGCGUAGAUAUGCGGAGGAACACCGAUGGCGAAGGCAAUCCCCUGGACCUGUACUGACGCUCAUGCACGAAAGCGUGGGGAGCAAACAGGAUUAGAUACCCGCGUAGUCCCUGUCUCUUAUAC
Molecule: ribosomal RNA, 301 nt
Filed under: uncultured bacterium
Lineage: Bacteria
Description: partial 16S ribosomal RNA
Rfam family: Bacterial small subunit ribosomal RNA
Source: RNAcentral